UACGAAGGGGGCUAGCGUUGCUCGGAAUCACUGGGCGUAAAGCGCACGUAGGCGGCUUUUUAAGUCAGAGGUGAAAUCCUGGAGCUCAACUCCAGAACUGCCUUUGAUACUGAGAAGCUUGAGUCCGGGAGAGGUGAGUGGAACUGCGAGUGUAGAGGUGAAAUUCGUAGAUAUUCGCAAGAACACCAGUGGCGAAGGCGGCUCACUGGCCCGAUACUGACGCUGAGGCACGAAAGCGUGGGGAGCAAACAGG
RNAcentral lists this ribosomal RNA (253 nucleotides) under uncultured bacterium. RNAcentral's name for it is "partial 16S ribosomal RNA". It matches the Rfam family "Bacterial small subunit ribosomal RNA", at positions 524 to 776 of the family's 1533-position model. The record is from RNAcentral.